Molecule: non-coding RNA, 231 nt
Organism: Pelobates cultripes (western spadefoot toad)
Lineage: Eukaryota; Metazoa; Chordata; Amphibia; Anura; Pelobatidae
Source: the annotation of a GenBank genome assembly
GUUUUAUAACGGAUAUUGAUGUUAUGCUAAUCAGUAGCUCUUUGCCAUACCCGCUCCUUCACGGCUCCAGGCACUGCUUGUUGUGAGUGUGAGCCACUGUAAAUUAGGGGCAGAGGGCACUUGCACUGCGGUAAAGAUGGGGCUGGGCAGGAGGAGAGUGCAGUGCAAUCAGUGCACUCCCCUCCUGUGGGUCACCAGUAGACUGGUGCACCUGCCCAGGAUCAGAGCCGG